AAUAUAAGCUAAUAAAAAUUAUCUAAAUUGAAGUGGAGAGAGGAAAAAAUGGUUGAAAAAAAUGAACAGAGCAUUAGCAAAUUGUGGGAUAAUAGUAAGCAGUCUAACAUACAUGCAAUUAGAGUUCCAUAAGGAAAAAAACAAUAAGGCAGAAAAAUAUUUAAAGAAACAGUGGCUUAAAAGUUGAUGAAAAAUAACAAUCCACAGGUCCAAAAAGUUCAACUAACCCCAAGCAGGAUAAACUUUUUAAAAAUCAUACUUGGGGCCAGGCGCAGUGGCUUAUGCCUGUAAUCCCAGCACUUUGGGAGACCAAGGCAGGCAGCUCAUUUGAGGUCAGGAAUUCAAAACCAGCCUGGACAAUUUGGUGAAACCCAGUCUCUACUAAAAAUAUAAAAUUAGCCAGAGCUGGACGUGGUGGCUCACACCUGUAAUCCCAGCACUUUGGGAGGCUGAAGUGGGCAGAUCACCUGAGGUCAGGAGUUUGAGACUAGCAUGGCCAACAUGGUGAAACCCUGUCUCUACUAAAAAUACAAAAAUUAACCAGGAGUGGUGGUGGGUGCCUGUAAUCUCAGUUACUGGGGAGGCUAAGGCAGGAGAAUCAUUUGAACCCAGGAGGCAGAGGUUUCAGUGAGCCGAAAUCACACCAUUGCACUCCAGCCUGGGCGACUGAGUGAGACUCUGUCUCAAAAAAAAAAAAAACGAAAAAAGAAAAAAAAUCACACUUGGUACAUCAGAGUAAAAUUGCUGAAAACCAAAACUAAAGAGAAAAUCUUAAAAGCAGCCAUAGGGGGAAAAGACACAUUACAUGCGCAGGAGAAUCGCUUGAAACCGGAAGGCAGGGUUGCAGUGAGCCGAGAUUACGCCAUUGCACUCCAGCCUGGGCAACAGAGUGAAAUUCUAUCUCAAAGAAAAAUAAAAUAAAAUAAAUAAAUUAGAAUGUAGUUGUACAAUGGAAUAUUAUACAGCAGUGAAAAUGAGUAAACUAAAGCUAUAUGCAUUAACAUGGAUGAACUUUACAAAUUUGUUGAGUCAAAAAAGAAAAUUGUAGAAGAAUAUACACAGCAUGAUGUUAUUCAUAUAGUUAAAAUGCAAUGCAUAUAGAGUGUAUAAUAUAGUAAAAAAAAAACAUAUGCAUGGGAAUAAUUAACUCCAAGUUCAGAAUAACGUUUCCUCUGGGGGGAGAGAAAGGAAUGCAAUAGAGGAGGAGCUUAAACUAUAUUUGUAAUGCUUUAUUUCUUUUUUUUUUUUUUUGAGACGGAGUCUCGCUCUGUCGCCCAGGCUGGAUGGAGUGCAGUGGCACGAUCUCAGCUCACGGCAAGCUCCACCUCCCAGGUUCAUGGCAUUCUCCUGCCUCAGCCUCUGGAGUAGCUGGGACUACAGGUGCCUGCCACA
This 1392-nucleotide long non-coding RNA is filed under the name Homo sapiens (human). Its description in RNAcentral is "non-protein coding lnc-NAV1-7:1". The record is from RNAcentral. Lineage: Eukaryota; Metazoa; Chordata; Mammalia; Primates; Hominidae.